This 531-nucleotide ribosomal RNA is filed under the name uncultured bacterium. RNAcentral describes it as "bacterial SSU rRNA". It matches the Rfam family "Bacterial small subunit ribosomal RNA", at positions 355 to 896 of the family's 1533-position model. The record is from RNAcentral.
UGGGGAAUAUUGCACAAUGGGCGAAAGCCUGAUGCAGCGACGCCGCGUGCGGGAUGACGGCCUUCGGGUUGUAAACCGCUUUCAGCUCUGACGAAGCUUUUGUGACGGUAGGAGCAGAAGAAGCACCGGCUAACUACGUGCCAGCAGCCGCGGUAAUACGUAGGGUGCGAGCGUUGUCCGGAAUUAUUGGGCGUAAAGAGCUUGUAGGCGGCUUGUCGCGUCUGCUGUGAAAUCCCGGGGCUUAACCCCGGGCUUGCAGUGGGUACGGGCAGGCUAGAGUGUGGUAGGGGAGACUGGAAUUCCUGGUGUAGCGGUGGAAUGCGCAGAUAUCAGGAGGAACACCGAUGGCGAAGGCAGGUCUCUGGGCCAUUACUGACGCUGAGAAGCGAAAGCGUGGGGAGCGAACAGGAUUAGAUACCCUGGUAGUCCACGCCGUAAACGUUGGGCGCUAGGUGUGGGUCCCAUUCCACGGGGUCCGUGCCGCAGCUAACGCAUUAAGCGCCCCGCCUGGGGAGUACGGCCGCAAGGCUA